AAACGUAGGAGGCGAGCGUUAUCCGGAUUUACUGGGCGUAAAGCGUGUGCAGGCGGUUUGAUAAGUUGGAUGUGAAAGCUCCUGGCUUAACCGGGAGAGGUCGUUCAAAACUAUCAGACUAGAGAGUGGUAGAGGGAGAUGGAAUUCCGCGUGUAGUGGUGAAAUGCGUAGAUAUGCGGAGGAACACCAGUGGCGAAAGCGGUCUCCUGGCCCAUUUCUGACGCUCAGACACGAAAGCUAAGGUAGCAAACGGGAUUAGAGACCCCGGUAGUCUUAGCUGUAAACGAUGUGAACUUAGUGUCGGUGGGGUUAAAUCCAUCGGUACUGAAGCUAACGCGAUAAGUUCACCGCCUGGGGACUACGGCCGCAAGGUUAAA
Molecule: ribosomal RNA, 377 nt
Filed under: uncultured bacterium
Lineage: Bacteria
Description: bacterial SSU rRNA
Rfam family: Bacterial small subunit ribosomal RNA
Source: RNAcentral